UACAGAGGGGGCAAGCGUUGUUCGGAAUUACUGGGCGUAAAGGGCGCGUAGGCGGCCUGUUAAGUCGAACGUGAAAUCCCUGGGCUCAACCCAGGAACUGCGUCCGAUACUGGCAGGCUUGAAUCCGGGAGAGGGAUGUGGAAUUCCAGGUGUAGCGGUGAAAUGCGUAGAUAUCUGGAGGAACACCGGUGGCGAAGGCGGCAUCCUGGACCGGUAUUGACGCUGAGGCGCGAAAGCCAGGGGAGCAAACGG
This 252-nucleotide ribosomal RNA is filed under the name uncultured bacterium. Its description in RNAcentral is "partial 16S ribosomal RNA". It matches the Rfam family "Bacterial small subunit ribosomal RNA", at positions 524 to 775 of the family's 1533-position model. The record is from RNAcentral.